RNAcentral lists this ribosomal RNA (253 nucleotides) under uncultured bacterium. RNAcentral describes it as "partial 16S ribosomal RNA". It matches the Rfam family "Bacterial small subunit ribosomal RNA", at positions 524 to 776 of the family's 1533-position model. The record is from RNAcentral.
UACGUAGGGACCGAGCGUUGUCCGGAUUUAUUGGGCGUAAAGAGCCCGUAGGCGGCCGUCCGCGUCGGAUGUGAAAGCUUAGGGCUCAACCCUGAGAGGCCAUUCGAUACGGGACGGCUAGAGGUAGGUAGGGGAAAGUGGAAUUCCUGGUGUAGCGGUGAAAUGCGCAGAUAUCAGGAGGAACACCGGUGGCGAAGGCGGCUUUCUGGGCCUUACCUGACGCUGAGGAGCGAAAGCUGGGGGAGCGAACAGG